UAAAAGAGGGAGAAUCCCACAAGACCUUGCUUCUAGAAUCCUCUGCUCUAUAAAGUCUCUUAGGAAAGGAGUGUGAGGAUGCACUCAGAUGCAAGAGGUGUCUAGAAUUGUUUGGUUUUAGAAAUCUCCUUCCCUGAGCCAUCUGGACUAAAGCAUAUGGCACAGAAGAAUGAGGAUGGAGUUGGGUAAUACUUUGGGACCAUGGGCAGACAUAGAGUAGAUUCCAGGUUCAUUUACUCCCUCACGUGUUCAUUUAUUCCAUACAAUUUUGCAGAGCUUUUUUCAUGGGCUUCCUGCAAAGCAUCUAACCGCCAACCCCAGCGUCUGGUUGUCACUGUCUGGCCGCAGAACCAGCUUUCCCUGGCUGGACCUGUCUUCAGAGUCAGGUUGCUUGCCUUGCAGCCCCGCACCCACUCACAUUCUCCUUGCUCUCUAGGUCCAUGGGGUGAGAUCGCUGACUGACAGAAGGAAGCUGUUCUCUGGGGUGUGCGUGACCCAAAGACCAAUGGAGGGAGGAAGAAUAGAUGCUCCAAAUGGCCACUGCACUUCUCCAAUGUCUGAAGGUGAGAUUUCCAUAGGGGCGAGGUGUACAGUGAUCUUGUCCAGCUAAAGUUUCCCACCUCCCUAAGGAGUUUGUAAGUUUCUCAAGCGUAACGAUCUGAAUUCUCUUAUCCUGAAGGACUGUUCACACAGUAGGAAUGUGUUGAAUGCAACUGAAUAAAUGAUUUAGGCCAUAAAUUUGAGGACUGGAUCAUUCCCUUUAAGCUCCUGGUGGGUUAGGCAGAUGCCAGAGAGGCUUCCCUUGUUCUUCCAUAAUAUGUUGGCUUGCAGUUCUUUAUUUUAACUAAAAGUGAAAGGCACAGAUCAGAACAGCAACAAAGAUGCUGCCCUUGAAGACUCAAUCCUGUUAAAUUCACCCCAAGCAGUGCCUCGUUUAAAUGGGCUGCCACUUACCAGGGUUUGUAAAACCAAGUUCAGAAAGAACCAGAAUGGAAAUGCCCCCUCGGAUCCUGAAUUUCUUCCUUUCCCGCUCAGGGGUUUAAAGAGGCCCGACACUGACAGAGCUUUCGAAGCCUUUCCUGCUCUCUGGGACUCACCUGAGUUUAGUCACGUUUCUGUUGGCGUAAGGAAAAGCAUUUUGCAACCACAUCCACCCAAUGAUAGGAUGGGAGGCCUCUC
Molecule: long non-coding RNA, 1179 nt
Filed under: Homo sapiens (human)
Lineage: Eukaryota; Metazoa; Chordata; Mammalia; Primates; Hominidae
Description: HSALNT0024306
Source: RNAcentral